Molecule: ribosomal RNA, 253 nt
Filed under: uncultured bacterium
Lineage: Bacteria
Description: partial 16S ribosomal RNA
Rfam family: Bacterial small subunit ribosomal RNA
Source: RNAcentral
GACGUAGGGUCCGAGCGUUGUCCGGAUUUACUGGGCGUAAAGAGCUCGUAGGCGGUCUGUCGCGUCGGCUGUGAAAACUCGGGGCUCAACCCCGAGCCUGCAGUCGAUACGGGCAGACUAGAGUGCGGUAGGGGAGACUGGAAUUCCUGGUGUAGCGGUGAAAUGCGCAGAUAUCAGGAGGAACACCGGUGGCGAAGGCGGGUCUCUGGGCCGUAACUGACGCUGAGGAGCGAAAGCGUGGGGAGCAAACAGG